CGGUUUCUUAAAGUCUGCUCUGAAAGCCCACGGCUCAACCGUGGAAGGGCAUUGGAUACUGUGUCACUUGAGUGCGGAAGAGAAAAGCGGAAUUCCACGUGGAGCGGUGAAAUGCGUAAAGAUGUGGAGGAACACCAGUGGCGAAGGCGGCUUUUUGGUCUGUAACUGACGCUGAGGCGCGAAAGCGUGGGGAGCAAACAGGAUUAGAUACCCUGGUAGUCCACGCCGUAAACGAUGAGUGCUGAGUGUUUGGAGGGUUUCCGCCCUUUAGUGCUGCAGCUAACGCAUUAAGCACUCCGCCUGGGGGAGUACGGUCGCCAGACUGAAAACUCAAAGGAAUUUGACGGGGGGCCCGCACAAGCGGUGGAGAUGUGGUUUUAAUUCCGAAGCAAACGCGAAGAACCUUUACCAGGUCUUUGACAUUCCUCUGACAUCUCUAGAAAUAAAUCGGUUCCCUUCGGGAAACAAAAUGAAAGGGCGGGGAAUGGUUUUCCUCCCUCGUGUCGAGAGAUUUUGUAAACUCCCCAAAAGCGAACCUUUGUUUUUUCCAAUUUUUUGGGACCCAAGGACCCCCGGGAAAACCCGAAGAGGGGGUGACUCCAACCUCCUUCC
This 612-nucleotide ribosomal RNA is filed under the name Bacillus sp. A3.3. Its description in RNAcentral is "bacterial SSU rRNA". It matches the Rfam family "Bacterial small subunit ribosomal RNA", at positions 576 to 1201 of the family's 1533-position model. The record is from RNAcentral. Lineage: Bacteria; Bacillati; Bacillota; Bacilli; Caryophanales; Bacillaceae.